This 127-nucleotide small RNA is filed under the name Marmota monax (woodchuck). Lineage: Eukaryota; Metazoa; Chordata; Mammalia; Rodentia; Sciuridae. The record is from RNAcentral.
GCUGGGUGUGGUUGUGCAUGCCUGUAAUCCCAGCAUCUUGGGAGGCUGAGGCAGGAGGACCUUGAGUUCAAAGCUAGCCUCAGCAAUUUAUCGAGGACUUAAGCAACUCAGUGAGACCCUGUUUCUA